AGAACCUGAAACCCUGCACUUACAAGCUGUGGGAGCACAUUACUUGUGUGACCGCGUACUUUUUGUAGAACGGGCCAACGAGUUACGUUAAGUAGCAAGGUUAAGCACUUAAGGUGUGGAGCCGUAGCGAAAGCGAGUCUUAAAUGGGCGUCCAGUUACCCGACGUAGACCCGAAACCAGGCGACCUAUCCAUGAGCAGGUUGAAGCGAAAGUAAAAUUUCGUGGAGGACCGAACCCACGAGCGUUGAAAAGCUCGGGGAUGACUUGUGGAUAGCGGUGAAAUUCCAAUCGAGCCCGGAGAUAGCUGGUUCUCCCCGAAAUAGCUUUAGGGCUAGCCUCAAGCGUAGAGAAACGGAGGUAGAGCACUGAAUGUCCUAGGGGGUAUUGCACUUACCGAAGACUAUCAAACUCCGAAUGCCGUAUUCUUUUGCUUGGGAGUCAGACUAUGGGUGAUAAGAUUCAUAGUCAAGAGGGCAACAGCCCAGAUCGUCAGCUAAGGUCCCUAAAUGUAAGUUAAGUGGUAAAGGAUGUGGAAUUGCACAGACAACCAGGAUGUUGGCUUAGAAGCAGCCACUCAUUUAAAGAGUGCGUAAUAGCUCACUGGUCGAGUGAUUCUGCGCCGAAAAUUUCCGGGGCUAAAACUUACUACCGAAGCUACGGCAUCAUUAUGAUGGGUAGGGGAGCUUUCUAUACGGGUUGAAGCAUGACCGUAAGGACAUGUGGACUGUAUAGAAGUGAGAAUGUUGGCAUGAGUAGCGAGAUGUGGGUGAGAAUCCCACAGGCCGUAAACCCAAGGUUUCCAGGGGAAGGUUCGUCCGCCCUGGGUUAGUCAGGACCUAAGCCGAGGCCGAAAGGCGUAGGUGAUGGACAACAGGUUGAUAUUCCUGUACCACCAAUAACCGUUUGAGAAAUGGGAUGACACAGUAGGAUAAGCUAACCGCACUGUUGGUUAUGUGCGGGCAAGUAUUGAGGCAGUUCCGAUAGGCAAAUCCGUCGGAAUAAUGCUGGGGUACGAUGCGGAGCGAAAUUUAGUAGCGAAGUAGCUGAUUUCACACUGUCGAGAAAAGUCUCUAUCGAGGUUAAAGGUGCCUGUACCGCAAACCGACACAGGUGGGUGAGGAGAGUAUCCUAAGGCCAGCGAGAGAACUGUUGUUAAGGAACUCGGCAAAAUGACCCCGUAACUUAGGGAGAAGGGGUGCCUUCGAAAGAAGGCCGCAGAGAAUAGGCCCAAGCGACUGUUUACCAAAAACAUAGGUUUCUGCUAAGUCGCAAGACGAUGUAUAGGAGCUGACGCCUGCCCGGUGCUGGAAGGUUAAGGGGAUCUGUUAGAGCAAUCGAAGCAGUGAACUUAAGCCCCAGUAAACGGCGGCCGUAACUAUAACGGUCCUAAGGUAGCGAAAUUCCUUGUCGGGUAAGUUCCGACCCGCACGAAAGGCGUAACGAUUUGGGCACUGUCUCAACAACAGACUCGGUGAAAUUGUAAUACCGGUGAAGAUGCCGGUUACCUGCGACAGGACGGAAAGACCCCAUGGAGCUUUACUGUAGCUUGACAUUGAGUCUCGGUGCUACAUGUACAGGAUAGGUGGGAGACUAUGAAGCAUGGACGUCAGUCUGUGUGGAGUCAUCCUUGGGAUACCACCCUUGUAGUACUGGGAUUCUAACCAGAGGCCAUGAAUCUGGUCUUGGGACACUGUCAGGUGGACAGUUUGACUGGGGCGGUCGCCUCCCAAAAAGUAACGGAGGCGCUCAAAGGUUCUCUCAGUACGGUCGGAAAUCGUACGAAGAGUGUAAAGGCAAAAGAGAGCUUGAUUGCAAGACAUACAGGUCGAGCAAGGACGAAAGUCGGACUUAGUGAUCCGGUGGUUCCGCAUGGAAGGGCCAUCGCUCAACGGAUAAAAGCUACCCUGGGGAUAACAGGCUGAUCUCCCCCAAGAGU
Molecule: ribosomal RNA, 1936 nt
Filed under: human gut metagenome
Description: bacterial LSU rRNA
Rfam family: Bacterial large subunit ribosomal RNA
Source: RNAcentral